UACGGAGGGUGCGAGCGUUGUCCGGAAUCACUGGGCGUAAAGGGCGCGUAGGCGGCUCGGUAAGCGUGCGGUGAAAGCCCGGGGCUCAACCCCGGGUCGGCCGUGCGAACUGGCGAGCUGGAGCACUGUAGAGGCGGGUGGAAUUCCGGGUGUAGCGGUGGAAUGCGUAGAGAUCCGGAAGAACACCAGUGGCGAAGGCGGCCCGCUGGGCAGUGGCUGACGCUGAAGCGCGACAGCGUGGGGAGCAAACAG
This 252-nucleotide ribosomal RNA is filed under the name uncultured bacterium. RNAcentral's name for it is "partial 16S ribosomal RNA". It matches the Rfam family "Bacterial small subunit ribosomal RNA", at positions 524 to 775 of the family's 1533-position model. The record is from RNAcentral.